GCUGGGCGCGGUGGUGCACACCUGUAAUCCCAGCAGUUCAGGAGACUGAGACAGGAGGAUCAUGAGUUCAAAGCCAGCCUCAGCAAGGAUGAGGCGCUUAGCAACUCAGUGAGACCCUGUUUCUC
Molecule: small RNA, 125 nt
Filed under: Marmota monax (woodchuck)
Lineage: Eukaryota; Metazoa; Chordata; Mammalia; Rodentia; Sciuridae
Source: RNAcentral